This 1227-nucleotide long non-coding RNA is filed under the name Felis catus (domestic cat). RNAcentral's name for it is "lncRNA (ENSFCAG00000049137.1)". The record is from RNAcentral. Lineage: Eukaryota; Metazoa; Chordata; Mammalia; Carnivora; Felidae.
CGAGAUUUGAAUUUCCUAUAAUUUUCACAUCAUGAAAUAUUCUCCUUUUGAUUUUGUUCUCAACCAUUUAAAAAUGCUAAAAAAAAAAAAGAAACUUUCUUAGCUCAUGGGCCAUAGAAAAACAGGCACAAAAGGGAAAACUGUUGGGAGGAAAGUGGAACAAUUCACAUCUUCCUAGAAAAGUAAAUAAGGCCACAUUACCUUGGAGAGACUUUAGGCGAGAUAUCCAAGAUGAUAGGUUAUGGUAAAGAAUGGGAGAGAACAGAAUGAACCCCUGGAUGGAGUGGCUGGGGGGAAUGUCUUUGGGGAAACACUCUCUCCCUUCCAUGGGACCCACUAGAAUUGAACAUGGGGAAAUGAGGAGGGGUAGCAGGUCACUUUGAGAUGGAUCUUUAGGGGGUAUUGAGGAAACAUCCCUUUCCUCCAACCGUAGCAUCCUGUCCUCCCUGCCACCACAGAGGUGUCAGGAGCAGUGCAUUGUGAUGCCCAAGCCACUUCAACAUUACCAUUGGCCAGGGGAGCUCCUGAGCAAACAAAGCUGAAGGGUGUGGCUCCUCACUGGUCAGAAGCCUGGCCAGGAGCCGUGGGGUAGACCACUAGGAGGCUUAAAUAAGGCUGGUAAGAUCUGCACACCAGAGGAGCCUUAUAUAAGUAUGAAACGAUCAAAGAGAAGCAUGAAACAGCCAGCCCCAAGAACCAAAAGAAAGAAGGGGAAGAAGACUUCCUGUCAACCCAAGACCAGGCACGGCGGCAAGGCGCAGAAGAAAACCAAGAAGACAAAAAGACCCCUUCGAAGGAAUGUGAAAAACAAACCGCCUCAGUCAUCCCCCUCCUGUUUGAGAAUGCCUCACAGAAGAGUAAGGCCAACUAUAUUCAUCUGCUACCACAAGCUGAACAAGACACCGAGUGAGAAUGAGCAGAGCAGGAACAAGAAACACUGGAAACUCCAACCAUUCCAAAUAACAUCUUGUGCGGCCAGUAAAUGCAGAGCCUGGGCCAGAAACGUAGAAUCAGCUACGGCAUAUUGUGAAGUGGCUAUAGAGAACUGUUCGGACACCUAGGGGCCAGAUCUAGACCAACAAGGUACACAGACGUUGAUAAAAAUGAAAACAAGUUGUGAAAAGGAGCUGUGUUUGUGUGUCCGUGACAGACGGAGGGAGAAAACGAAAGGAAGAGACAGGCGCGCGAGAAGGAAGGGAGGUGAGGUCCUGGAGGGUGGGGGGGCCA